UCUGUCUUGUUCUUGCUCCCUCUCUCCCUCUUCCUUUGGCUUCAUGUGGCCAUUUGUCACUCUUUGGAUGUUUUUUCCUUUAUCGAGAUGUUUUCUCUGGGAAUGUUUCCCGCCAACGCAAGCCCAUUAACUUCCAGAGUUCAGCUGACAGCCUGGACUCCAAGACCCGUUGCCUUGUGACACUGAGCGCUUUCGAGAUGCUGGAAUUGGUUGGUAAAAUAACCUAGUCACAUGCCUAAGAGGAAAAAGGAAUACUAUUUCAGGGCUGGACCUGAAGGCAAUCUGGAGAGCUGGAGGAAAUUAAAGGACAAGGGGAGGUUUUGCAUUUGUAUCGUUAAUUCCUGGAUGGAAUGUGAAAAGGAGAAAUGAGGAAAAAAGCAUAAGAAAUUGCCUAUGUAAAUAAUAGGCAGGGUGUACCCAUCUUGGAUGGAAAUGGGCAACCAGAAAUCGCUCACCAGAGCCUUGUUAAACACACAAGUAGAAGUUGGGGUUUAGGGUUUUAUUCGUGAGAAAGUUAUU
This 519-nucleotide long non-coding RNA is filed under the name Anser brachyrhynchus (Pink-footed goose). Its description in RNAcentral is "lncRNA (ENSABRG00000020628.1)". The record is from RNAcentral. Lineage: Eukaryota; Metazoa; Chordata; Aves; Anseriformes; Anatidae.